UCCGUUAUGUGAGAAACUGACGUGACGUAGCAUGUAUUUGGUGCUACAAUUUCCUAUCAUCUGAGGGGUAUCUGUGGUAAGUAUCCAUCUAGGAAUAAUUUUGUUUCAUAUUUAAUCCUUACCUAAAAUUGUGUAAUAUUUCGGCGAUAUAUUCAUAUGCUGAUUGCAUGCGAAGUAAAACCGGCCCCUUACGAAACUUAUAGCAGACGACAUAUUCCCCGCCAUUUUGACCGUCAUUUCUGCCAUUGUUCCACAAGCAUUAUUUGCAAAUUGUGAGAUGAAAUCCCAAUCCAAACUGCACUUGUGACAUUUUGAAAGUUUCCGUUUAUUUGAAUGAUGUUCAAAUAAAAUGAAUAUAUAUUUCAGGUUCUAUAUGAAUCGCCUGAAAGUACGAAGCGGGCAACAAAUCUCAUGCAACAAAUCUCUGAAGAUCUAAAUUUGGGAUCCGAGGGCAUGAUCAGCAUGCAUCGACAAUGCAUCGAAUCAGCAGAGAGUAGGGUUGCAUUGCAGAUAAUCAGUACCAUCCUUGGAAAUUAUUGCACACAGCACACGUCUACGCAAAGGAGGAAAAGAAACAAGGUUUUUCAGAUCAAAUAAGAAGGAUGUUGCGGAGUCGUAUUUGACAUGAAGUUUCCUGAAGCAUGCGAUGGUCAUGUCGCUGUUACGAACAACGUCCUUGGGGAUAUUUACCCACAAGAAACAUCUGCGAAGUACUUGCGCUUCGUGAAAGACUUGACACUUAAGUUAUCUUAAGUAUGGAAGUAUGCUUCACUUUGCUACAUGACAGUUUGUAAUGUUUCAUGAAGAACUCUGACUAACAUAUUUAAGUGACUUGAAUAUCCAUGAUCAUGACAAAUAAAUGUAAUAAAGAAUUCAUGGUUGCAGUUCA
Haliotis rufescens (red abalone) is the source of this 889-nucleotide long non-coding RNA. RefSeq lists it as uncharacterized. The record is from RefSeq and is a predicted model, not a curated record. NCBI's taxonomy places the organism in Eukaryota, Metazoa, Mollusca, Gastropoda, Lepetellida, Haliotidae. The transcript is spliced from 3 exons.